This 25-nucleotide non-coding RNA is filed under the name Gallus gallus (chicken). The record is from RNAcentral. Lineage: Eukaryota; Metazoa; Chordata; Aves; Galliformes; Phasianidae. RNAcentral also lists the same sequence under 5 other names.
GUUGGUGGUAUAGUGGUGAGCAUAG